CUUUGAUUUAUUUUUAAAAAUCUUUUUUUUUAAUUUGAAAUUUCUCAGAUUUUCUGCUCCAAGUCAUAGCCCUGCUGCCUUGAGUGGAAUUGUCAGUUCCCCACGGGAGGUUGUAAUAACAGCGUUAUUCCCAGCGCAUGGACUCCGGGAAACCUGAACGGCUGCUCCUUCCAGAAGGUCUGCGCGCUCCUCGACGCCCUUUCCCACGUUCCUUUUCUGCUUAAAUAGCUGCAGUGGAUUACGUUGCUAGCACCUGAACACCCUGACAGACGUGCUGGGUAAGACCUUCCACUUUCCUCGCUCAUCCUUUCUGUGUCUGAACAGCUGGUGGCCACGGCGUAGCCACCACCCCAGUGUCUGAUGUGCAGGGCCAUCCUGCUCACCUCCCCAUGACAGCUGACAGACUAACCGAGCAGAAAAAUUCGAUUGUUUACUUAUUUGAAAACAGCUUCAUUGAGCUGGGAUUGAUGUACAAAAACACUGCCUGUAUUUAACAAACACAAUUUGAUGAGUUUGGACAUCUGCGUGCGAACAUCUGUGAAACCAUCACCACAAUUAAGGUAACAGACAUAUCCAUCACUCCCUAAAGUUUCCUUGUGUGCCUCCUUUUUGUGGUAAGAACUCUUAACACGAGCUCCACCCUCUUAACAACGUUUUAAGGACAUGAUACAGUAUUGUUGACUAUUGACAGAAAACAUUUAUUUUUCGCUUCAAAAUGUGAGAAUUGGAUUGUGAAUCAACGGAAAGCCCAUCUGUGAACAUGUGUUCACAAAUACUAAAUGUUUUAAGUCAGAGGAUAACAAGUCCCUGGGAAACAGCAUUGAUAAUGAUGAAAGGAUUCUGGGGUCCAUAAGCCAACACCCUCCUUCUAAGCUUUCCUGGCAGCUUUUCCUCCAGAGACUCAGACGCGGCUCAACCCUCCUUCAGAUCCUGGUUAACCUCCGUUCCUGUAGGAUGUCUGCUGUGAUCGCCUGGGCCACAGCGCUCUUUCCCUCCUCUGACAGCACGUUGUUACCUUGUCAUUGGGCCCUGGAUGCAGGUGUCCCGUGACAUCCUGGGUUUCAUUCCUCAUUUUCCCAGCAAAAAAAGUCCUUCAGAAUAUCUGACCCCUGCUGCAUUCUACGGGCUCAUCCCCUAGCAUCUCUUCCAACUUUAAACAUCCUGUCUGUACUCUCAUAUUUUUAAGCUAUUCUCUAAGUUUUUUUAUCAUAG
This 1212-nucleotide long non-coding RNA is filed under the name Equus caballus (horse). Its description in RNAcentral is "lncRNA (ENSECAG00000054617.1)". The record is from RNAcentral. Lineage: Eukaryota; Metazoa; Chordata; Mammalia; Perissodactyla; Equidae.